This 441-nucleotide ribosomal RNA is filed under the name uncultured bacterium. RNAcentral's name for it is "partial 16S ribosomal RNA". It matches the Rfam family "Bacterial small subunit ribosomal RNA", at positions 338 to 795 of the family's 1533-position model. The record is from RNAcentral.
CCUACGGGUGGCAGCAGUGGGGGAUAUUGCACAAUGGGGGAAACCCUGAUGCAGCGACGCCGCGUGUGGGAAGACGGUCCUCUGGAUUGUAAACCACUUUCCCCAGGGACGAAGAUUACGGUACCUUGGGUGGAAGCUCCGGCCAAAUACGUUCCAGCAGCCGCGGUAAUACGUAGGGAGCGAGCGUUUUCCGGAAUUACUGGGUGUAAAGGGGGCGCAGGCGGCGAUGCAAGCCCGGAGUGAAAGCCCGGGGCCCAACCCCGGGACUGCUCUUGGAACUGCGGGGCUGGAGUGCAGGAGGGGCAGGCGGAAUUCCUGGUGUAGCGGUGAAAUGCGUAGAUAUCAGGAGGAACACCGGUGGCGAAGGCGGCCUGCUGGACUGCAACUGACGUUGAGGCCCGAAAGCGUGGGGAGCAAACAGGAUUAGAUACCCGUGUAGUC